UGUCAGGGACAUCGGGAGAACCAACUUCUGGAAACUGAGCUGGUCCCCAGGACUGUGUAUUUAGUUUUCAACUGUAAGAAAAGGAAGUCUAUCUGGGAAAGGAGACCUGAGGUGCUGAAAAACAAGGGAAAAAAUGGUCUUGAAAACAAGGAAUCAUAUUUGCCUGUGGAUAUGGAAGAGUUUCAGAUUUGUAAUUAUUGCUGAGCGCAAGAAAACAUCAGGAAGAUUUGUGGUUUAUGGAAGAAUAGG
Homo sapiens (human) is the source of this 249-nucleotide long non-coding RNA. RefSeq lists it as uncharacterized. Lineage: Eukaryota; Metazoa; Chordata; Mammalia; Primates; Hominidae. The transcript has 3 exons. The record is from RefSeq and is a predicted model, not a curated record.